AACGAACGCUGGCGGCGUGCUUAACACAUGCAAGUCGAGUGCGCGUACCGUAGCAAUACGGUAUGGCGCACGGCGCACGGGUGCGUAACACGUGGGCAAUCUGCCCUUCGAUGGGGAAUAACUCCGGGAAACCGAAGCUAAUUCCGCAUAACAUUCCUUGGACUUCGGUUCGAGGACUCAAAGCCGCAAGGCGUCGAAGGAGGAGCCCGCGCCCGAUUAGCUAGUUGGUGAGGUAACGGCUCACCAAGGCAAUGAUCGGUAGCUGGUCUGAGAGGAUGGCCAGCCACACUGGAACUGAGACACGGUCCAGACUCCUACGGGAGGCAGCAGUGGGGAAUCUUGCGCAAUGGGCGAAAGCCUGACGCAGCGACGCCGCGUGGGGGAUGAAGCAUUUCGGUGUGUAAACCCCUUUCGACUGGGACGAAUACCUCGCAAGAGGGGUGACGGUACCAGUAGAAGAAGCCCCGGCUAACUACGUGCCAGCAGCCGCGGUAAGACGUAGGGGGCCAGCGUUGUUCGGAAUUACUGGGUGUAAAGGGUUCGUAGGCGGUGUGGCAAGUCGGGAGUGAAAUCUAUGGGCUUAACCCAUAGGCUGCUUCCGAAACUGCCGUGCUUGAGUGUGGGAGAGGCGCGUGGAAUUGCAGGUGUAGCGGUGAAAUGCGUAGAUAUCUGCAGGAACACCCGUGGCGAAAGCGGCGCGCUGGACCACUACUGACGCUGAGGAACGAAAGCUAGGGGAGCAAACAGGAUUAGAUACCCUGGUAGUCCUAGCCCUAAACGAUCAGGACUUGGGGUGCCACCCGUUCGGGUGUCGUCCCGGAGCUAACGCGUUAAGUCCUGCACCUGGGGGAGUACGGUCGCAAGACUGAAACUCAAAGGAAUUGACGGGGGCCCCCACAAGCGGUGGAACAUGUGGUUCA
Molecule: ribosomal RNA, 920 nt
Filed under: uncultured bacterium
Lineage: Bacteria
Description: bacterial SSU rRNA
Rfam family: Bacterial small subunit ribosomal RNA
Source: RNAcentral